RNAcentral lists this unclassified non-coding RNA (389 nucleotides) under uncultured Chytridiomycota. Its description in RNAcentral is "sequence contains ITS1". The stretch from base 1 to 101 matches the Rfam family "5.8S ribosomal RNA", at positions 50 to 154 of the family's 154-position model. The record is from RNAcentral. Lineage: Eukaryota; Fungi; Chytridiomycota.
GAAAUGCGAUACGUAAUGUGAAUUGCAGAAUUCCGUGAAUCAUCAAAUCUUUGAACGCAUAUUGCACUCUAUUUCGGUAGAGUAUGCCUGUUUGAGAAUCUAUAGUAUUUCUUUGCCCUUUUUUGACCUGUUAUGGGACAAUUUAGGGCAAGAUUUGAACCGUCUCUCCCCAGAGUGGUUUUAAAUAGAUUGCUUGUUUCCACAGUUGAGUGUUUGACUCUUUACUAUGCAGACAGAACCGUAUUUGAAUGGGGCUUCGGCUUCUCCUUAUGCCUAUUAAGUCGCUGUUUAGAUUAGCCCAACCAAAAAAGCAAGUUCAUAACCUAAAGGCUCUUUUUUAGAGCCUGAACCAUGGUCUCAAAUCAGGUAGGAUUACCCGCUGAACUUAA